GGGGCAUGGAAGCAGGGCGUUAAGCGUUUAUCUCAAUGGAAAUGAACCACUCGAGGAGAAUCAGAAGAGAGCUGGAGCGGGCUGGGCAGGGGAGACUGUCUCUUCUGUGCGGGGAUUUGAGGAGCGCCUUCAGAAAAAUGAGCGAGAUUUUGCUUCCUUUCAUGGAAUUUAUAGCCCACAGCCCCGGUGGCCUGCCCUCCAGUGAAACUUUGGGAACCUUUCAGGACAGUCGUCUUGACUGUGCAGCAGACACCUAAGACACCUAUUGCUGUCUGCCCAGCAUCCAUUCCUGUUUCUUCAGACCCCAUCUGCUUAUCUCGAGCGAAGUUUGGGGAACAGCUCCGUCCUAUUGUGAGCCCAUCAUUUUGCAAAUCUAUUCCCGUCAGAGCUCUCAUUAUAGCAGAUGUCAGCGGAGGAAUCCGAGCUGUCGGGGACCGCCAACCAUGAAAAGGAGGGGCCCGGGGGCGGCGAGGCAAACAAAACAGCCGCCCCCAAAAACGUAAACAGGCCUGUGUGUCACAAUAUUUUCCCACAUCGCCCGGCCAUUCCAGGGGACUUAUUUCCAAAAGAAAGGGGGGGCGGGGGGGAAUGACUGUAACAAUACAGAGGCAGAAGCCGUCAAGUUCAUUUCCUCCAAGUGGAAGGAUUCGUAACCUCUUCCUAAAAUCAUCUUUCUCUGCAACAAAAGUUGAUCAUAUGUUUAUU
This is a long non-coding RNA of Globicephala melas (long-finned pilot whale), 705 nucleotides long. RefSeq lists it as uncharacterized. Lineage: Eukaryota; Metazoa; Chordata; Mammalia; Artiodactyla; Delphinidae. The record is from RefSeq and is a predicted model, not a curated record.